RNAcentral lists this ribosomal RNA (490 nucleotides) under uncultured bacterium. RNAcentral's name for it is "partial 16S ribosomal RNA". It matches the Rfam family "Bacterial small subunit ribosomal RNA", at positions 30 to 507 of the family's 1533-position model. The record is from RNAcentral.
AUUGAACGCUGGCGGCAGGCCUAACACAUGCAAGUCGAACGGUAACAGGAAGCAGCUUGCUGCUUUGCUGACGAGUGGCGGCCGGGUGAGUAAUGUCUGGGAAACUGCCUGAUGGAGGGGGAUAACUACUGGAAACGGUAGCUAAUACCGCAUAACGUCGCAAGACCAAAGAGGGGGACCUUAGGGCCUCUUGCCAUCGGAUGUGCCCAGAUGGGAUUAGCUAGUAGGUGGGGUAACGGCUCACCUAGGCGACGAUCCCUAGCUGGUCUGAGAGGAUGACCAGCCACACUGGAACUGAGACACGGUCCAGACUCCUACGGGAGGCAGCAGUGGGGAAUAUUGCACAAUGGGCGCAAGCCUGAUGCAGCCAUGCCGCGUGUAUGAAGAAGGCCUUCGGGUUGUAAAGUACUUUCAGCGGGGAGGAAGGGAGUAAAGUUAAUACCUUUGCUCAUUGACGUUACCCGCAGAAGAAGCACCGGCUAACUCCGUG